RNAcentral lists this ribosomal RNA (36 nucleotides) under Herpolirion novae-zelandiae. RNAcentral's name for it is "partial 18S ribosomal RNA". Lineage: Eukaryota; Viridiplantae; Streptophyta; Magnoliopsida; Asparagales; Asphodelaceae. RNAcentral also lists the same sequence under 10 other names. The record is from RNAcentral.
UACCUGGUUGAUCCUGCCAGUAGUCAUAUGCUUGUC